RNAcentral lists this ribosomal RNA (2951 nucleotides) under Candidatus Nanohalarchaeota archaeon. Its description in RNAcentral is "bacterial LSU rRNA". It matches the Rfam family "Archaeal large subunit ribosomal RNA". Lineage: Archaea; Nanobdellati; Candidatus Nanohalarchaeota. The record is from RNAcentral.
AGAGGUUAAUUUAAGCCAGGUAGAGGAUAGCUCGGCUCAAGACGCUGAUGAAGGACGUGACAAGCUGUGAAAAUCUUGGGUGAGGCGCAUGUAGCCUUGGAGCCCAAGGUUUCCUAAUAGGACUUCCUACGUGUUUUACACGUGUUUCCUCUGGAAACGGGAACGCUGGGAACUGAAACAUCUUAGUACCAGCAGGAAAAGAAAUCAACCGAGAUACCGUUAGUAGGGGCGAUCGAAAGCGGUUCAGAGCAAACUGAAUACCUUCACGUGAGUGAAGGAAUAUGUGGUUUUUUGGUCCGUCUUUUAGUCUUUGAGACCUAACCGAAGUUUUCUGGAACGGAACACUUCAGAGGGUGAUAGUCCCGUAGGUAAACGUUUCAAAGAUGUGACGGUUUCCAGAAUAGCAGGGGUUGGAAAUCCCUUGUGAAUUUGGGAGGCACCGACUUCCAACUCUAAAUACGUCUUGAGUCCGAUAGCGUACCAGUAGCGUGAGCGAAAGUUGAAAAGAAUCCCUAAAAAGGAGGUUAAAAGAGCUUGAACCUGCCUGGUCUUAGGCUGGUCAGAGCCUUAAAGCGCCGAUGUUCCUUGAAGGAAUCAACUGAGAGGUUGUAGUACGAGAGGAGCGGAGCAGGGUUCUGACUUCCGUUUUGAAAAACGGGGCAGGGAGUGUAUUUCUGUGGCGAGGUUAAAAAGUGUCUAGCUUUGCAACCGAAGCGAAAGCAACAUGUCCGCAACAUUGUGAGGGACGCCGUACGAAAGUGCGGGAAGUCACUGAAAUACUAUCCGAAGCCGGUUGAUCUAUUCAUGGUCCGGGUGAAAUGUAGCGAAAGCUGCAUGGAGGCCCAAAGCGUUGCUGUGAGCAAGCGCUCGUGUGAACUGUGAAUAGCGGUGAAAUGCCAAUCGAAACCGGUAAUCGCUGGUUCCUCCCGAAAUGCACCGAAGUGCAGCCCCUGACGAGGCAAUUAGUGAGGUAGAGCUACUGAUUAUGGAAAUCCAGCUCUUUGAGCUGCUUCCGUUGUCAAACUCCGAACUUGCUAAUGCUGAAAACUCAGGGAGUGAGGGGUAGCGGGUAAGCUGCUGCUCCUAGAGGGAAACAACCCAGACUAGGGUUAAGGUCCCUAAGUGCUAGUUAAGUGUACCUGAAGGUUGUCCCGGAUCUUAGACAGCGGGGAGGUUAGCUUAGAAGCAGCUAUCCUUUAAAGAAAGCGUAAAAGCUCACCCGUUGAGGUCUGGGACGCCGUAAAUGGACGGGGCUCAAACUAGCCACCGAGACCCUGGGGGCGUGGUAGCAUUCCACGACCGGUAGGGAGGCGUCCUGCAUGGAUGGAAAUUCGGCUGUGAGGUCGAAUGGACCGUGUAGGAACGAUAAUCCUGUCGGCAGUACCAACAAAAGUGAGGUUCGAAUCCUCACCCCCGCAAGGGCAAGGGUUCCCCAGCAAUGUUCGUCAGCUGGGGGUUAGUCGAUCCUAAGUCAUUCCUUAAUCGAGGAUGACGAAUGGGAAACCGGUUAAUAUUCCGGUACCGUUAGGACACGUUCAGUUGACUCUGACGUUUUGGGAUAAGCUAAGCAGAGACAUACUCUGUUUAAUGGUUUAAGGAAGGGGAGCGCCGUAAUGGCGAGAACCUUUUGAAUGCCAGAACAGCCUAGGAACAAAUCCUGGGUUUAGCUGAUUCCUAGAACCCGUGAAAAGGAGUCUUAAGUCCUUGUUCGUACCCAGAUCCAGCACAGGUGCCCUGGUUGAAUAGACUAAGGGGUGUCGAGUAAUACUUGGCUUAGGGAAUUCGGCAAAUUAGCCCCGUAACUUUUGGAGAUGGGGUGCCCGUCUUUGUGAAAGGACGGGUUGCAAUGACUAGAGAUGCCCGACUGUUUAAUAAAAACGUAGCUGGCUGCUAGCCUGAAAAGGUUUGUACAGCCGGCGACUCCUGCCCAGUGCGAGUACCUGAUUACCUUGUACAAGAGGAAGAAGGGCUCGUAAACGGCGGCGGUAACUAUGACCGUCUUAAGGUAGCGUAAUCCCUUGCCAAUCAACUGUUGGCCCGCACGAAUGGAGUAACGAGGUAUCUACUGUCCCAAGCCAAGGCUCGGUGAACCGCGCCAUACCGGUGCAAAGGCCGGUGACAUCCAGUGGGAAGCGAAGACCCUGUGAACCUUUACCGCAGGCUUUUAUUGAUGUAUGGGCUUUGGUGUGAAGCGUAGGUAGGAGGCUUCGAAGUCGCGCCACUAGGUGUGAUGGAGCCAACCAUGGGACACUACCCUCCGAAGCCCGUACGUCUAACCUGAAAAGGGACAGUGAUAGUUGGGCGGUUUAGCUGGGGCGGCAUCCGUCUGAUAACAAAUCAGACGGGUCCAAAGGUCCUCUCAGCCCGGUCAGAACUCGGGCGUAGAGCACAAAGGCAAAAGAGGGCCUGACAGGACUCACUACAUUUCUGAGUCCUGACGCGAAAGCGAGGCUUAGCGAACCCUAGUAGCCUCUUGGUUGAGGCUCUGGUAUGACAGAAAAGGUACUCCGGGGAUAACUGGAUUGUCUGCGGCGCGAGCCCAUAUCGACCCGCAGGCUUGUUACUUCGAUGUCGGCUCUCCGUAUCCUGGCCGUGCAGCCGCGGCCAAGGGUGGGGGUGUUCACCCAUUAAAACGGAUCGUGAGCUGGGUUUAGAUCGGCGUGAGCCAGAUCGGUUGCUAUCUACUGGAUGUGUUUGAUUGGUUGAGAGGAAGUUUCGGACAGUACGAAAGGAACCCCGAAACGGAGCCUAUGGUGUAGCAGUUGUCCUAAAGGGCAUGCUGCGUAGCUACGCUCUAUGGGAUAAGGGCUGAAAGCAUCUAAGCCUGAAACCUUCCUUAAAAAGAACCAAUUUUGGCGCCUUUAUAAGACAGGUUUGAUAGAGUAGCGGUGUAAGCACUGAGGAAACGAAGUGUUCAGCCGACUACUACUAAGAGCCUUUUAGAAUCUUUU